Molecule: ribosomal RNA, 373 nt
Filed under: uncultured bacterium
Lineage: Bacteria
Description: bacterial SSU rRNA
Rfam family: Bacterial small subunit ribosomal RNA
Source: RNAcentral
GGGCCCGCACAAGCGGUGGAGUAUGUGGUUUAAUUCGAUGCAACGCGAAGAACCUUACCAGGGUUUGACAUCCUGCGAAUCUCUUGGAAACAGGAGAGUGCCUUCGGGAACGCAGUGACAGGUGGUGCAUGGCUGUCGUCAGCUCGUGUCGUGAGAUGUUGGGUUAAGUCCUAUAACGAGCGCAACCCCUAUCGUUAGUUGCCAUCAAGUAAAGUUGGGAACUCUAGCGAAACUGCCGGUGCAAACCGAGAGGAAGGUGGGGAUGACGUCAAAUCAUCACGGCCCUUACGUUCUGGGCUACACACGUACUACAAUGCUACGGACAAAGGGGCAGCAAACUCGCGAGAGCUAGCAAAUCCCAUAAACGUGGCUC